Molecule: small nucleolar RNA, 68 nt
Organism: Choloepus hoffmanni (Hoffmann's two-fingered sloth)
Lineage: Eukaryota; Metazoa; Chordata; Mammalia; Pilosa; Megalonychidae
Source: Ensembl
UCUCACCGAUGACCUCGCAUUUGUGCCAUUGUGUCGGGGUCACAGAAGCACUGAUGGAACCUAUGAGA